This 461-nucleotide ribosomal RNA is filed under the name uncultured bacterium. Its description in RNAcentral is "partial 16S ribosomal RNA". It matches the Rfam family "Bacterial small subunit ribosomal RNA", at positions 338 to 795 of the family's 1533-position model. The record is from RNAcentral.
CCUACGGGAGUCAGCAGUGAGGAAUAUUGGUCAAUGGGCGCGAGCCUGAACCAGCCAAGUAGCGUGAAGGAUGACUGCCCUACGGGUUGUUAAACUUCUUUUAUAAAGGAAUAAAGUGAGUCACGUGUGCCUUUUUGUCUGUACUUUAUGAAUAAGGAUCGGCUAACUCCGUGCCAGCAGCCGAGGUAAUACGUAGGAUCCGAGCGUUCUCCGGAGUUAUUGGGUUUAAAGGGAGCGUAGAUGGGUUGUUAAGUCAGUUGUGAAAGUUAGCGGCUCAACCGUAAAAUUGCAAUUGAUACUGGCAGCCGUGAGUACAGUUGAGGUAGGCGGAAUUCGUGGUGUAGCGGUGAAAUGCUUAGAUAUCACGAAGAACUGCGAUUGCGAAGGCAGCUUACUAAACUGCCACUGACAUUGAUGCUCGAAAGUGUGGGUAUCAAACAGGAUUAGAUACCCUGGUAGUC